Bombus impatiens (common eastern bumble bee) is the source of this 499-nucleotide long non-coding RNA. RefSeq lists it as uncharacterized. The record is from RefSeq and is a predicted model, not a curated record. The transcript is spliced from 3 exons. NCBI's taxonomy places the organism in Eukaryota, Metazoa, Arthropoda, Insecta, Hymenoptera, Apidae.
CAACAAUAACAGGCCAUUGUGCAGACGGCGAUAAAUGUUCGAUUCGAUUUCUCGUUUCGCAGGCUUUCAAACGGAUUAAUUAGUUUGAAGCGGUUCGAACGCAUCGCUAAUUGUAAAGCAUCAUGGACCAUGACUUAUUUAAUAGAGUUGAGGAUCGCAUUUUAACUACAGUAUUAAACUUGUAAAGAGCUCAAAUGUUGUUUAUUAAUUUCAAGACAAACUUCGUUUAAAAGGACUUCAAGGUCAGAGUUGUUUUCUGGAGAGAGUAAGAUUUGUAGAAUAUACGCUUUCGUGCGACAAUAAUCUAUUAUGUAUUUGAAAACAGAACUUUUUAUGCGUUAACUCUUCGUGAAGUGUUUAAUUGCACUAUUCUAUGUAGAUAACUUAAGUCUGCGCGUCAAUUACAAGCAACAGAAUCAGAAAAAACGUAGAGAAAAAACAGAAAUAUCCGUACUAUGCGCUAUGGCCUACAUUCUAUUGAAACGUCUGACUAAAUGAA